Mus musculus (house mouse) is the source of this 1359-nucleotide long non-coding RNA. RefSeq annotates it as predicted gene, 42031. Lineage: Eukaryota; Metazoa; Chordata; Mammalia; Rodentia; Muridae. The record is from RefSeq and is marked validated. The transcript has 2 exons.
GGCGCGCCAGUCCUCCGAUAGACUGAGUCGCCCGGGUACCCGUGUUCCCAAUAAAGCCUCUUGCUGAUUACAUCCGAAUCGUGGUCUCGCUGAUCCUUGGGAGGGUCUCCUCAGAUUGAUUGACUACCCACCUCGGGGGUCUUUCAUUUGGAGGUCCCACCGAGAUUAGGAGACCCCUGCCCAGGGACCACCGACCCCCGCCGGGAGCUCACUUACAGGCCCUCCAAGCAGUACAACGAGAGGUCUGGAAGCCACUGGCCGCUGCUUAUCAGGACCAGCUGGAUCAGCCAGUGAUACCACACCCCUUCCGCGUCGGUGACGCCGUGUGGGUACGCCGGCACCAGACUAAGAACUUAGAACCCCGCUGGAAAGGACCCUACACCGUCCUGCUGACCACCCCCACCGCUCUCAAAGUAGACGGCAUCUCUGCGUGGAUACACGCCGCUCACGUAAAGGCGGCAACAACUCCUCCGGCCGGAACAGCAUGGAAGGUCCAGCGUUCUCAAAAUCCCUUAAAGAUAAGAUUAACCCGUGGGGCCCCCUGAUGUAAGGUUAAACCAGAGACAAAAAUUGUUCGAAUCAGGACAAGGGUGGUUUGAGGGACUGUUUAACAGGUCCCCAUGGUUCACGACCUUGAUAUCCACCAUUAUGGGCCCCUUGAUAAUACUUUUAUUAAUCCUACUCCUCGGACCCUGUAUUCUCAACCGCUUGGUCCAGUUUGUAAAAGACAGAAUUUCGGUGGUGCAGGCCCUGGUUCUGACCCAACAGUAUCACCAACUCAAAUCAAUAGAUCCAGAAGAAGUGGAAUCACGUGAAUAAAAGAUUUUAUUCAGUUUCCAGAAAGAGGGGGGAAUGAAAGACCCCACCAUAAGACUUAGCAAGCUAGCUGCAGUAACGCCAUUUUGCAAGGCAUGAAAAAGUACCAGAGCUGAGUUCUCAAAAGUUACAAGGAAGUUCAGUUAAAGAUUAACAGUUAAAAAUCAAGGCUGAAUAAUACUAGGACAAGGGCCAAGAACCGAUGGUACCCACCGGGGCCCCGGCUCAAGGCCAAGAACCGAUGGUACCCACCUGGGCCCCGGCUCAGGGCCAAGAACAGAUGAUACCCAGAUAAGGCGGAACCAGCAACAGUUUCUGAAAAAGUCCCACCUCAGUUUCAGGUUCCCCAAAUGACCGGGAAAUACCCCAAGCCUUGAUUUGAACUAACCACUCAGCUCGCUUCUCGCUUCUGUACCCGCGCUUUUUGCUCCCCAGCCCUAUAAAAAGGGUAAAAACCCCACACUCGGCGCGCCAGUCCUCCGAUAGACUGAGUCGCCCGGGUACCCGUGUUCCCAAUAAAGCCUCUUGCUGAUUACAUCCGAA